UACGUAGGGUGCAAGCGUUGUUCGGAUUCAUUGGGCGUAAAGGGCGCGUAGGCGGCGGGGUAAGUCGGGUGUGAAAUCUCAGAGCUCAACUCUGAAACUGCACUCGAUACUGCUCUGCUUGAGGACUGGAGAGGAGACUGGAAUUCACGGUGUAGCAGUGAAAUGCGUAGAUAUCGUGAGGAAGACCAGUGGCGAAGGCGGGUCUCUGGACAGUUCCUGACGCUGAGGCGCGAAGGCCAGGGGAGCAAACGGG
This 253-nucleotide ribosomal RNA is filed under the name uncultured bacterium. RNAcentral's name for it is "partial 16S ribosomal RNA". It matches the Rfam family "Bacterial small subunit ribosomal RNA", at positions 524 to 776 of the family's 1533-position model. The record is from RNAcentral.